Harpegnathos saltator (Jerdon's jumping ant) is the source of this 420-nucleotide long non-coding RNA. RefSeq lists it as uncharacterized. The transcript has 2 exons. Lineage: Eukaryota; Metazoa; Arthropoda; Insecta; Hymenoptera; Formicidae. The record is from RefSeq and is a predicted model, not a curated record.
AUUAUAAUAAUACAGGCUCAGAUGAAAUGAAUACUCCAGCAUGGAAAUGGAAAUGAGGGAACACAGAACAGACAAGAAUCAUCCGAUGUAAGUCUUAUACUCCGGGGGGACAUCCGAAAAAGGUCGUCCCAGCAGCUAUGUGUGAUAUUCUAUUUGCGACAAUUAAGAAAUAAAUCUCACACGUGGAGAAAUGUGUUUUUAUAUUUGCUUCAUCUUUUAUUCUCUUCAAUAAUAUAAAAUUACAUACGUUAAUAACACGAGAUGAAUAUGUUACAAUAUUUCACAACGUAACGCGUGCCCAACGCGAUUAUGGGUUACGAUUGGGAAGCGGUUGGGAGGAGACCAUGUCUUAGCCCAUGUUGAAACGCGCGACAACGAUUUCAUCGAGUCGAGGAUGACGACCGCGGGCGGAAGUAUCUG